Molecule: RNA transcript, 1847 nt
Organism: Ipomoea triloba (trilobed morning glory)
Lineage: Eukaryota; Viridiplantae; Streptophyta; Magnoliopsida; Solanales; Convolvulaceae
Gene name: zinc finger protein BRUTUS-like
Exons: 10
Source: RefSeq, a predicted model, not a curated record
UCUGCUUCAAACAAAUUAGAUCCACGGCCACAGACCACUACUUCCACACAAACGCAACCAGACCACGGCUUCCAUCGCCACACCACCGCAGCCUCCACCGUUACCGCAUCCGCCUUCCACCGUCGCAGCCACCACCGCCGUCACAAACAGAUCUGCCGCCCGCACUAGCCACGACCACCAUUGCAGCCUUCGUCCACUACCUCCGCCUCAGUCACGGCGACCGCACCUCUGCCUCCAUCGCCUUCGCCGUCGUCUGCCUCCGCCACCAGCGAGCCUCCGUUGUAAGCACCACCACCGUAGCCACCAUCCAUUUUCGCCUCCCCCGCAGCCAGCCACCAGAUCUGCGCAGCGCAACCACCACCACCACCACCGUCCGCCAUUUCCCCCUCCACAACAGCCACCACCGUCCGCCAUUUCCGCCUCCAUUGCGCAGGUACAAAAUGUUGACGACAUAGUUAAAGAUUUGCUAAUGCAAAUCCAGAAUGGUGAGGCAGUAGAUCCAAAAGAUAUUGAUGGUCUUAAGCGAAGAAAUUUGAUUGCCCAACAGUAAUUAUCUAGGAGUUGGAAAGGCUACUCAGUAAGGAAGGGUCCUAAGUAUGCUCCCAAAAGGAUAAAAGAAGCUACUAACCUCACUCGGGAGAACUUGCAUAGCUCUGCGAAAUGUUAUAUGCAGUUGUACCCAAAGCUUUUGUUCGAAUUGUACAGAGGGAGCUCAUCGGCCUGUAGACUGUGAGACUAUUGCCAAGUGGAUUUCGAAAAACAGUGUUGAAUUGAAAACAUGAAUUGCAUCGUUGAGGACAAAGUUAUAUUCCCUGCUGUAGACACAGAGUUGUCUUUUGCCCUGGAGCAUGCAGAAGAAGAAAAUGAGUUUGGUAAGCUCAGAUGCCUCAUAGAAAACAUUCAGAAUGCUGGAGCUAACUCACCUUCUACUGAAUUUUAUUCAAAGUUAUGCUCUCAUGCUGAUCAUAUAAUGGAGAUAAUAGAGAAGCACUUCCACAAUGAGGAAGUUCAGGUUCUUCCGCUUGCACGAAAACAUUUUAGCCCAAAAAGGCAGCGGGAACUGCUUUUUCAGAGCUUGUGUGUGAUGCCACUUAGACUGAUUGAAUGCGUCUUACCGUGGUUAGUAGGAUCACUAAAUGAGGAGGAUGCAAUGCCUUUUCUGCACAAUAUGCAUAUGGCAGCUCCGGCAUCAGACACUGCGUUGGUAACACUUUUCACUGGUUGGGCAUGCAAAGGCCGUACAGGAGAUACUUGCUUGUCUUCUAAUGCAACAGGUUGCUGUCCUGAUGAAGAACUGUCAUGAAAUCAAGAUUGUAUAGGCCGAUGUUUUUGUGCCAGAAGUGAAUCUUUCUCAUAUGCCCAAGAAGAUUGCCAGGAAAGAUGUUCAAGUUCCACUUUAGGAGAGAGAUGUGAUCCUUCUGGAACAUGAAUUGGCUAUGCCUUGGUGCAUGAUCAGACCAUGGCAAAAAGACAGGUGGUUUUUAUGCAUGCAAUCGCUAUGAAGCAGCAAAACACGGGGGAGUGGUAUGUCCAAAAUUAUGUUUGGUCACUUUUGGAUGUCUCAUAUGUUUGUUUUCUGGGUCGUUUAAUGCAUUGAUAUUGAGUUAGUUGAUGAUGCUUAAUUUAGUUACCAACUUUUGCUUUGCCUAUUAUUGAUUAUAGUAUGAUGAAUCUGAAAGGAGGAGAGAGAUGGCCAAAAAUUCCUUGGACUAGAGUACUAGACUAGUAUUUGGUUGUAAUUUCAUUCUCUCUUCUGUAGCUUUCAAUUAUUUAUAAUUUGGAAUUGUAAACCUUUAAUUUCAUUGAUUCUUUUUUAAGCUUUGAAGUAUUGUAGUUUCAAUUGAUCA